Molecule: long non-coding RNA, 531 nt
Organism: Trachymyrmex septentrionalis
Lineage: Eukaryota; Metazoa; Arthropoda; Insecta; Hymenoptera; Formicidae
Exons: 4
Source: RefSeq, a predicted model, not a curated record
GGAAGUACACCCUGCCAUUUUAACGUUGAAACAGUUCGCUCUUAUUCGCAGCCCUGUCUUCGAAUCGAUUGUGACUUUCUCCAUAUUCUAAUACUCUGCUGAAAAAUGAAGACGGAAUCUCUCAGAAUAUACGACGAGAAGCGGCACGAAAGAAUCGGUCAUCGUUGGAUUUUUUUACUACGAACGCGACGAAUACGAGAUGGUUGGCUCAAAAUGAGUGCUGUUGCGAUUUAUUAAAUUGAUGCUGUUACAAACAAUGGGAAGAGAAGAGAAAUGAAAAGCAGGCUUGACAAUUUUGUGAGGAGGAGGAAGAGGAAGAGGAGGCUCAAGAAAAGCAAGAGAUCAAUUUUACGGUUACAGAAUCAUGUAAUGCACAUAGCUGAUAACUCCACUGCUGCGCAUCAAUCGGUCUUUCUUUUAUUGGUACGCGCAGUCACCGGCUGCGAUCAAGCCAUUAGUCAGUUAGUGAAGAUGCAGUAAAAAAUAUAAUGGAGACUUUGCACGGCUCUGUACUACUGAGAGAUUGGGACA